This 4545-nucleotide long non-coding RNA is filed under the name Canis lupus familiaris (dog). RNAcentral describes it as "lncRNA (ENSCAFG00845008019.1)". The record is from RNAcentral. Lineage: Eukaryota; Metazoa; Chordata; Mammalia; Carnivora; Canidae.
CUUCCUGAACUUCACAUAAAGAGGAAAUAAUAAAACAGGUUUCAUGAGUUGGUUGGAUAUGAGGUAGUAUAUGUAGCAGUAAUGAUUAAUUCCUCCCCUCGCCUUGGCACACUGAAGUUGAAUGCCUUGAAAAAGAUAGUUUAUUUGGAGAGAUGUUUGGUGAAAUAAGAAAGUAGGGUUAAUUAAAUUAUCUCAGGAUACUGAGAGUGGCUAAUAUUAGGCACCUUUUUUUUGUUGUUGUUCCUGGCACUGUUCUGAAUGCUUUCUUUACAUUUCCUCACAGGAAUUCGGGGUUAGGUGCUAUUAUUUCACCCCCACAUUAACAGUGAGGAAAUUGAGGCUAGAGUAGAUAAAUAACUUGUAUUAACCCUGCUUGUCUGGUUCCAGGGCUCAUAACUAUCAGAAUGGAAUUUUUGAAGAGGAUCAUGAGGAUGGCAUUGAUAAUAAUGCCUAGGUUUUUACGCUUCAUCCUCUGAGGAACACUUCUUGUUUACCUUGUUACAUUAGUUCCUCAUAAAAAACAGGAGAUGGCUAGAAAAUGGGAUUAAAAAAACAAAACAAAACGGAGGUUUCCUAGAGGGGAGGUGACUUGCCCAGGGUUACUGAAUCAAUAUGUGACCAAACUGGUGCAAGAACUUUUCCCACCUGACUUGUGUGUUAACAGAAUGAAAGAAUAGUAUAGGAAUCCUCUUAACAAGUGGAUGCUAUGAAGUUUUUAAAAUUUCCAACAGACACAAGGAGAUUAAUUAUGUUCCUCAAGACCACACGUCAUGCCAGUGGCCAACUAAAGGAAGAGCAACCCCAGCCCCAGAGCCACACAGCUUCAGAGCACCCCAACUGCAGGAGUUGGAGAAGUCCUAAUGCAUCUACGUUGGAGCCAGUGUGCAUCCUCAGGCCUUGUCCUGGGAGUGUGAAACCACCAGGGAGGAACAUAAGUGGCACAGGGACUCUCCCCGUUGGCUCACACUGCCUCCUACCACAGUCACCGGGGCUCUUUGUAAAGGUGCCUGAGCAACCAAAGGGGAGACGUUGAGGAUGUGCCCACGUCUGGGGGGACCUGGGCCGCCUCCUUCCAGUGCUAAUCAGCUCUCUCUGCAAAUUGAAGGCUCAGCACAAUUUUAAAGAAAGCAAGAGAGACAAGAAACCAAAUAAGGUUGGACCAAAAGCCUGUUGGAAUUAUGUGGUGUUUUGCCUUGUAGCUGGGGAUCCAGUUACAGAUGCCUGUGAUUAUGGCCUUUGCAAACAGUUGUCAGAGAAAUUUACAAGAUUUCUAAAGGCUGCAGAAGAGCAGAUGUGGAAUUAAAUUGCAAGAACAGCUACUCAUAAUGGCUUACAUGUGGGUAUAAGAUAUUUAGGAUUCAGACCCAAGUCCCUGUGUCCAAGAGGUGUGGGAUGCAGAGACAAAAGCAGAGAUUGGAGGUGUCAGCAUUUUCUGGUGGUCUUUUCCUAUUGUAUCAUUUAUUGUUGACCCGCAGGCCCUUAAAGCAGUUAGCUUGUAGUGUCAAACGUAGUCUUCGUUUGUCCCAUUUAGUAAGAUGGCUCUGAUUGGCUUCAUUGCCAACAAGCAUCAGCCAUGCCGGCAGAUAGAUUGUGGAAAAUGUGAGUCUCUAUGACCAACUUUAACUGGCCGUGCAAUAGAUAAUUUAACAUUAGCAAAGUUCAGAGUAUUUAGGUUUGCCUUGUUUCAUUAUCUUUUUCACAGUUCAUAUGGCAAAAGCUUUAAUGACUGUAAGAAAUGCUUUUAUUAUUGGUGAUGAAGGACAAGAUUGGAAUGAUUAGGAGGAGUGAUAGUAAUCUAACAGUUUUUCCUUUUGAAACAAAAGCUACUAGAUUUCUCUCCACUUCCAAUAAAGAAAUAAGCUUACUGAGUUAAAAAAUCCACGAGACCUAUAUUAGGCAGUGAAAAUAAUGAAAAAGAAAAUUCCAAGUCUUGAUAUAUAUAAAAAUAACAUUCUAGUUCUUGUUAUAUUGAAAUGCCCUUUUCCAGAGCUUUUCACAUAAUUGCCAGAAAACAGUUUAUAUUGUAUUAAUAAAGAGAGGAGGGCACUUGGGUGGCUCAGUGGUUGAGCGUCUGCCUUUGGCUCAGGGUGUGAUCCCAGAGUCUUGGGAUCAAGUCCCACAUUGGGUUCCCAACGAGGAGCCUAUUUCUCCCUCUGCCAGUGUAUCUGCCUCUCUCUCUGAGUCUCUCAUGAAUAAAUAAAUAAUUUUUUUUAAAGAUUUUUAAAUUUAUUUUUGAGAGACCCAGAGAGAGAGGCAGAGACACUGCAGUCCCCACCACACUUCUGGGAAACCAAGCGGUAGAGUGCCGUGUGCCAGGGAGACAGCUUGGAAAUCAAAUGGAGUAAGAAUGGUCAGUCUCUGUGUACUGCCUCCUCAUCGUCAAAUUGUCUCACAGCUGCCUGGAGAGGAAAGAAGAUGAUGACCUCAUGGUAGACAGGAGGACAGAAGCUCCAAGAGGGCUCAGUAACUUGCCCCAGGAAAAGGAGAAUAAAGUGAGCAGGCAUUGGCUCCCAUGGGAUCAUUACAUCCCCCAACCACAAAAUGGUGAAGCUGGUACGUAAACCCAACUAGAUUUGAACUCCAGAGUUGGUCUCCAGUCCUUCAGAGAGGGACAAGCAUUGGCCUGAUUUUUGUCCCCCUUUAGCUCUGGUGUUGCACGGCCUUUUAGACCACUGGCAGGUCAUGUGAGAGGGGUCUGUGUUACUUGUUGGCCAUAGGACCUGGAGCAAGGUACCCCAACUCCCACUGUCCCCAUCUGUCUCAUAUACUUGUGGUGAGUGUUCCAUGGACAUAAAUGCUAUCAAGUGCUUAUUAGCACUGUGGCACCUAGCAAGGCCUCGGGCAAUGCACAGUAAUGAAGAGGAGGAAGACCAGUUUUGUUGCUAAGGUUCGUAGUGCUCCUGAGGUUUUGAUUGCAGAAGGUUCUCUUUGCCUGGACCCACGUGUGGCUGAGCUGUUUCCAGGCUGAACAUCCACUCUGACCCUCCCGUGUUCCACACCCAUAAUAGCUUCCUGGGGGCUGGUUUCCAUGGAGAACAGCUAGUGAACUUUUGUCGUCAUGUGUUUCCUAUUAUUCCACAUACCCCAGCUUGAACUUCCCAGAUUCUUCCGCCACAUCAAGCAGCAGAGACAGCCUGGUCUGUGGUACAUGCUGACACCUGUGCCUUCCUAAGGCCAAUGGCACUCAUAGCCUCUGUCCAGAGCUAAUCUUUUUUUUUUUUUUAAUUUAUUUGAGAGACAGUAAGUGAGAGAGAGAGAGAGCGCGCGCACGAGUGGGGUAAGGGGCAGAGGGAGAAGCAGACUGCCCGCUGAGUGGGGAGCCCGAUGCAGCCCUCAAUACUGGGACUCUGGGAUCAUGACCUCAGCUGAAGGCAGACGCCCAACUCACUGAGCCACUGAGGAGCCCUUGGAGCUAAUCUUUUAAUUCAUCCUUUAAAGACAUAUGGAGUAUUUAUAUACCAGGCAGAGCCAAAGAGGGACUUCAUGUACCUGUAUGUCACUUAACUGGGAGUUGGCAAGUAUCAUCUCCUCUCAUUUCCUAGAGAUAGGUAGAAACAGGCCCACACAAGGACCCAAAAGCUGGGAUCACACCGCAUCCCUCAUUUUCACUGUUAAUGAAAAGUACUUUCCAGCAGAUGUUCUUGUUCUUCUCCUGAUGUUUCUUGGUAAGUUUUUCAUCCUGUUGUCUUGUCUUACUCAUGUACUUAGGGGAACCUCAAAGAUUAUAGGAUGCUUCUGUUCUGACUUUAUCAAUUUUAAUCUAAAUUUUAUAAGAAUCCUAGACCAUUUAGCUCCUUCCCUCCAAGAUGGCUUAGAAUACCAUGUCCAUGUACAAGAUCUUUAUAAUCAGCUGUUUGCCAAGAGGUUUGAAUCAUCAUUUAGGCCAGAUGGUUUCCACAUGAACUAAGACUAAAGAUCUUUCAUUUGGCAUCCAGAAGAAAAACCAUUUUUAGAACUAUCAGUCCUUUAAAAAAACAAAACAAGCCAUUGAUAUUAAACUUAGUCAAUGAAACUUUGAAUGGAAUGGGAACAAAAUAAAUUCCCUUGUUUCUAAUUCUAGGGCUCCUGUUUAUGCAAAGUGGCCUGGGGAGAAAGCAGUAGCCAGGCUGAGUUGAGCUGGAUGAAAUAAACAAAAAGGUUGAAAUCUUUAUUUGCCUACUUACUUGUUCCCUGUUACUGCUAAUCAUAUUCCUCAGCCAUCACCAUCUUCAAACAUCUUGUUUCUGACUCUCAUAGAUGAGGAAACUCAGUGAUUUGCAUGUUUUUUUCCUUCACCUAGAGAUCCCCGUUAAAGUCCUUGAGUAGAUAUACCAAGGUGGACUGUAAAUGAAAUAUAGAUGAAUUUUUAAUUAAAUGAGAUACCAAAGAGCAGUUUUUCAAGACUUCUACAAAUCAGUCCAGAUAGUCAAGUGUGAACUACUUACUUACAGUGGGCAUUUGUGUAGAUUCAUCUUUAUAUUUGCUUGGUCCUGAAAUCUGAGAAGAUUCCGACCAUGGCUCCAGUUGAUUUCACUGGUUUGACUCUCUGUGCAGGGGAAACGGCCA